GACGAACGCUGGCGGCGUGCUUAACACAUGCAAGUCGAACGAAGUGGCGAACGGGUGAGUAAGACGUGGGUAACCUGCCCUCCUUUUUGGGAUAAGCCUUGGAAACGGGGUCUAAUACCGAAUAAGGGGGGAUGGGCUCGCGGCCUGUCAGCUUGUUGGUGGGGUGAUGGCCUACCAAGGCGGUGACGGGUAGACGGCCUGAGAGGCUGAACGGCGACAUUGGGACGGAGCUACGGCCCAGGCUACUAAGGGGGGGAGCAGUGGGCGAUAUUGCACAAUGGGCGAUAGCCUGAUGCAGCGACGCUGCGUGGGGGAUUAAGGUUUUCGAGUUGUAAACCUCUGUCGCUAUCGAACCGUUAGGUGGAGAAGAAGCGCCGGCUAACUACGUGCCAGCAGCCGCGGUAAUAC
This 408-nucleotide ribosomal RNA is filed under the name uncultured bacterium. RNAcentral's name for it is "partial 16S ribosomal RNA". It matches the Rfam family "Bacterial small subunit ribosomal RNA", at positions 28 to 526 of the family's 1533-position model. The record is from RNAcentral.